GAUGAAGAACGCAGCGAAAUGCGAUAAGUGAUGUGAAUUGCAGAAUUCAGUGAAUCAUCGAAUCUUUGAACGCACAUUGCGCCCAUUAGUAUUCUAGUGGGCAUGCCUGUUCGAGCGUCAUUAAUUCCACUUAAGCCCUGCUUAGUGUUGGGAAUCUACUCUAGUGGUGCUACCCUGGAGCUACCCCUGAAAGGGGGCUGGCCCGGUAGCUACCCUGUAGUUCCUCAAAGAUAGUGCGCGGAGUUGCGUGGUCCUCUGAGCUUAGUAACUAUACACCUAGCUUUUGAGUGUCCCGCGGCGCCUGCCGUUUAAACCCCAUCUUUUAAUGGUUGACCUCGGAUCAGGUAGGAAUACCCGCUGAACUUAAGCAUAUCAAUAAGCGGAGGA
This 387-nucleotide unclassified non-coding RNA is filed under the name soil metagenome. RNAcentral's name for it is "partial contains 5.8S ribosomal RNA, internal transcribed spacer 2, and large subunit ribosomal RNA". The stretch from base 1 to 120 matches the Rfam family "5.8S ribosomal RNA", at positions 35 to 154 of the family's 154-position model. The record is from RNAcentral.